RNAcentral lists this ribosomal RNA (440 nucleotides) under uncultured bacterium. Its description in RNAcentral is "bacterial SSU rRNA". It matches the Rfam family "Bacterial small subunit ribosomal RNA", at positions 338 to 794 of the family's 1533-position model. The record is from RNAcentral.
CCUACGGGUGGCUGCAGUCGAGAAUCUUCGGCAAUGGACGCAAGUCUGACCGAGCGAUGCCGCGUGCGGGAUGAAGGCCUUCGGGUUGUAAACCGCUGUCAGAGGGAAGGAAAUUUUGACCGAACCUCAGAGGAAGGACGGGCUAAGUUCGUGCCAGCAGCCGCGGUAAGACGAACCGUCCGAACGUUAUUCGGAAUUACUGGGCUUAAAGGGUGCGUAGGCGGCCCUGUAAGUCAGGUGUGAAAUCCCACGGCUCAACCGUGGAACUGCGCUUGAAACUACAGGGCUUGAGGGAGAUAGGGGUGAGCGGAACUGAUGGUGGAGCGGUGAAAUGCGUUGAUAUCAUCAGGAACACCGGUGGCGAAGGCGGCUCACUGGGUCUCUUCUGACGCUGAGGCACGAAAGCUAGGGGAGCGAACGGGAUUAGAUACCCUUGUAGU